CGUUUUGUAGCGAUGUUGGUUAAUGCAUCCUGUCUAAUGUAUUGGGAGACGUGGGUUCAAAUCCCAUCAAAACCA
Non-coding RNA from Aedes albopictus (Asian tiger mosquito), 75 nucleotides. Lineage: Eukaryota; Metazoa; Arthropoda; Insecta; Diptera; Culicidae. The record is from Rfam.